GACGAACGCUGGCGGCGUGCUUAACACAUGCAAGUCGAACGGAAAGGCCCUGCUUUUGUGGGGUGCUCGAGUGGCGAACGGGUGAGUAACACGUGAGUAACCUGCCCUUGACUUUGGGAUAACUUCAGGAAACUGGGGCUAAUACCGGAUAGGAGCUCCUGCUGCAUGGUGGGGGUUGGAAAGUUUCGGCGGUUGGGGAUGGACUCGCGGCUUAUCAGCUUGUUGGUGGGGUAGUGGCCUACCAAGGCUUUGACGGGUAGCCGGCCUGAGAGGGUGACCGGCCACAUUGGGACUGAGAUACGGCCCAGACUCCUACGGGAGGCAACAGUGGGGAAUAUUGCACAAUGGGCGGAAGCCUGAUGCAGCAACGCCGCGUGCGGGAUGACGGCCUUCGGGUUGUAAACCGCUUUCGCCUGUGACGAAGCGUGAGUGACGGUAAUGGGUAAAGAAGCACCGGCUAACUACGUG
This 468-nucleotide ribosomal RNA is filed under the name uncultured bacterium. Its description in RNAcentral is "partial 16S ribosomal RNA". It matches the Rfam family "Bacterial small subunit ribosomal RNA", at positions 28 to 507 of the family's 1533-position model. The record is from RNAcentral.